RNAcentral lists this ribosomal RNA (1422 nucleotides) under uncultured prokaryote. Its description in RNAcentral is "partial 16S ribosomal RNA". It matches the Rfam family "Bacterial small subunit ribosomal RNA". The record is from RNAcentral.
CGGCAGGCUUAACACAUGCAAGUCGAACGGUAACAGAAAAUAGCUUGCUAUUUUGCUGACGAGUGGCGGACGGGUGAGGAAUGCUUGGGAAUAUGCCUUCUUACUAAGGGAUAAUUGAUGGAAACGUCUUGUAAUACCUUAUAUGCCCUUUAAGACAUAAGUCUGCAAGGGAAACAUUUAUGGCUCUAGGAUGAGACUGUACGGUAUCAGCUAGUUGGUGAGGUAAUGGCUCACCAAGGCAAUGACACCUAACUGGUUUGAGAGGAUGAUCAGUCACACUGGAACUGAGACACGGUCCAGACUCCUACGGGACGCAGCAGUGGGGAAUAUUGCACAAUGGAGGAAACUCUGAUGCAGCAACGCCGCGUGGAGGAUGACACUUUUCGGAGCGUAAACUCCUUUUAUAUGGGAAGAUAAUGACGGUACCAUAUGAAUAAGCACCGGCUAACUCCGUGCCAGCAGCCGCGGUAAUACGGAGGGUGCAAGCGUUACUCGGAAUCACUGGGCGUAAAGAGCGUGUAGGCGGGUUAAUAAGUCAGAUGUGAAAGCCAAUGGCUCAACCAUUGAACUGCACUUGAAACUGUUAAUCUAGAAUAUGGGAGGGGCAGAUGGAAUUAGUGGUGUAGGGGGAAAAUCCGUAGAUAUCACUAGGAAUACCGAAAGCGAAAGCGAUCUGCUGGGAAGUUAUUGACGCUGAGGCACGAAAGCGUGGGGAGCAAACGGGAUUAGAUACCCCGGUAGUCCACGCCCUAAACGAUGAAUGCUAGUCGUCGGAAAGCUCGUCUUUUCGGUGAUGCAGUUAACACAUUAAGCAUUCCGCCUGGGGAGUACGGUCGCAAGAUUAAAACUCAAAGGAAUAGACGGGGACCCGCACAAGUGGUGGAGCAUGUGGUUUAAUUCGAAAAUACGCGAAGAACCUUACCAAGCCUUGACAUUGAUUGAAUCCCGUAGAGAUACAGGAGUGCUAGUUUACUAGAACAUGAAAACAGGUGCUGCACGGCUGUCGUCAGCUCGUGUCGUGAGAUGUUGGGUUAAGUCCCGCAACGAGCGCAACCCUCGUCGUUAGUUGCUAACAGUUCGGCUGAGCACUCUAGCGAGACUGCCUUCGAAAGGAGGAGGAAGGUGAGGACGACGUCAAGUCAUCAUGGCCCUUAUGGCUAGGGCUACACACGUGCUACAAUGGGGCGUACAGAGAGUUGCGAUACCGUGAGGUGGAGCUAAUCUCAUAAAGCGUCUCUCAGUUCGGAUUGAUCUCUGCAACUCGAGAUCAUGAAGCUGGAAUCACUAGUAAUCGUAGAUCAGCAACGCUACGGUGAAUACGUUCCCGGGUCUUGUACUCACCGCCCGUCACACCAUGGGAGUUGAUUUCACCCGAAAUCGGGAUGCCAAACUGGCUACCGCUUACGGUGGAAUUAGCGACUG